GAUGAAGAACGUAGCGAAAUGCGAUAAGUAGUGUGAAUUGCAGAAUUCCGUGAAUCAUCGAAUCUUUGAACGCACAUUGCGCCUUCUGGUAUUCCGGAGGGCAUGCCUGUUCGAGAGUCAUUAACAACCGUUUCGAUCCCUUUCUUUCAGAAAUUACAAAGAGGAAAAGGGUUUGGUUAUGGUGGAGGAGGGAAAGGGAGCGUUUAGCCUGUAAAAAAAGAGGCUGUGUUCCGCCUCCCCCCCAAAAUUGUACAGGCGGUCGUGUGCGCCCACGCAUCGAGGUGUUGUAAAAGCUGCCACGGCACUUUUCACCUGUGCAGUGCGAGAUUGGCCAGCCGGUUUAAAAACCCCUCCAAACAAUCAAAGGUUGACCUCGGAUCAGGUAGGGAUACCCGCUGAACUUAAGCAUAUCAAUAAGCGGAGGA
This 425-nucleotide unclassified non-coding RNA is filed under the name soil metagenome. RNAcentral's name for it is "partial contains 5.8S ribosomal RNA, internal transcribed spacer 2, and large subunit ribosomal RNA". The stretch from base 1 to 120 matches the Rfam family "5.8S ribosomal RNA", at positions 35 to 154 of the family's 154-position model. The record is from RNAcentral.